Long non-coding RNA from Cheilinus undulatus (humphead wrasse), 425 nucleotides. RefSeq lists it as uncharacterized. The record is from RefSeq and is a predicted model, not a curated record. The transcript is spliced from 3 exons. Lineage: Eukaryota; Metazoa; Chordata; Actinopteri; Labriformes; Labridae.
UGUGUAACCUAAAAGAUGAGCGUGUUUUAAAGAGCAGGUAAAAAUAUUAAUGUUGCAUGAAGUCCCCGUGGUUUGUUCUUUUCUCCUUCACACUGAUAGUGUUAUAUGGCUCAUAUGUGAUAUUUUUUAGAGGUCAGUCAACAGGAACUGCGUCUGUUCGAGUAGAAAAACAAAAGUGAAAGUGUUUCACAGACAGGGAGCAGCCCCGUCUGGGAGGGAAACGUCAGAAACUUUACAAACAAUUUACGGAUCUAUUUCGUUAGAAGGAGUUAUUUACUCAGGCCGUUUAACUUCUGAAUCUCUACAAUGAAAUGGAGAAAAGGAGAUUAUGUCCUUCUAAGGGACAUGGAUGAAGAAAGACCAAGAGUGUCCUGGAGAAAGUUCUAUGUCCACCUGUCAGAAAAGACCAAUGACGCUCAUCUUCC